This 254-nucleotide ribosomal RNA is filed under the name uncultured bacterium. Its description in RNAcentral is "partial 16S ribosomal RNA". It matches the Rfam family "Bacterial small subunit ribosomal RNA", at positions 524 to 776 of the family's 1533-position model. The record is from RNAcentral.
UACGUAGGGGGCGAGCGUUGUCCGGAAUCAUUGGGCGUAAAGCGCGUGUAGGCGGCCCGGUAAGUCCGCUGUGAAAGUCCCAGGGCUCAACCCUGGGAUGCCGGUGGAUACUGUCGGGCUCGAGUCCGGAAGAGGCGAGUGGAAUUCCUGGUGUAGCGGUGAAAUGCGCAGAUAUCAGGAGGAACACCAAUGGCGAAGGCAGCUCGCUGGGACGUGACUGACGCUGAGACGCGAAAGCGUGGGGAGCAAACAGG